This is a small nuclear RNA of Callithrix jacchus (white-tufted-ear marmoset), 107 nucleotides long. NCBI's taxonomy places the organism in Eukaryota, Metazoa, Chordata, Mammalia, Primates, Cebidae. The record is from Ensembl.
GUGCCCACUUCAGCAGCACAUAUACUAAAAUUGGAAUGAUACAGAGAAGAUUAGCAUGGCUCCUACAAAAGGAUGAUACACAAAAUCAUCUGUAUUUUUAAAUUAAA